AACGCGAAGAACCUUACCUACUCUUGACAUCCUCGGAAUUUACAGAAUGUGGAAGUGCCUUCGGGAACCGAGAGACAGGUGCUGCAUGGCUGUCGUCAGCUCGUGUCGUGAGAUGUUGGGUUAAGUCCCGUAACGAGCGCAACCCUUAUCCUUAGUUGCCAGCGGGUCAUGCCGGGAACUUUAAGGAGACUGCCGGUGAUAAACCGGAGGAAGGUGGGGAUGACGUCAAGUCAUCAUGGCCUUUAUGAGUAGGGCUACACACGUGCUACAAUGGGAAAUACAAAGGGUUGCCAACCCGCAAGGGGGAGCCAAUCUCAGAAAAUUUCUCGUAGUCCGGAUUGGAGUCUGCAACUCGACUCCAUGAAGUUGGAAUCGCUAGUAAUCGCGAAUCAGAACGUCGCGGUGAAUACGUUCCCGGGCCUUGUACACACCGACGCGUA
RNAcentral lists this ribosomal RNA (440 nucleotides) under uncultured bacterium. RNAcentral's name for it is "bacterial SSU rRNA". It matches the Rfam family "Bacterial small subunit ribosomal RNA", at positions 958 to 1399 of the family's 1533-position model. The record is from RNAcentral.